AUGACUCUGGGCUGCACCAUCCUCAUCUGGACACUGGCCUGCUGCUGCUUCACAGGAUGCAGUGGUCAGGUCACAGUCACUCAACCUCCAGUCCAGACAGUUACUGCAGGAUCCACAGUCACUCUCACAUGUAAAACUAACAAAGAUGUUCAUGUUAAUACUUACAUGUUCUGGUAUCAGCAGAAAACUGGUCAGACUCCAGACCUCUUGAUAAAAUAUGCAACACAACGUCUGUCAGAAACUCCAUCUCGGUUCAGUGGCAGUGGGAGUCACAGAGAUUUCUCUUUGACCAUCACUGGAGCUCAGGCUGAAGAUGCAGCAGUUUAUUACUGUCAGAGUUUACACAGCGCCCCAUGGCAGUUCACACAGUGA
Molecule: non-coding RNA, 372 nt
Organism: Boleophthalmus pectinirostris (great blue-spotted mudskipper)
Lineage: Eukaryota; Metazoa; Chordata; Actinopteri; Gobiiformes; Gobiidae
Source: the annotation of a RefSeq genome assembly